UCGCUCUUCAACGAGGAAUCCCUAGUAAGCACAAGUCAUCAGCUUGUGCUGAUUACGUCCCUGCCCUUUGUACACACCGCCCGUCGCUACUACCGAUUGAAUGGCUUAGUGAGACCUUUGGAUCGUUAGUUUAGAACUGUAAAAGGUUUUUUUCCGAUGAGAAGUUGGUCAAACUUGGUCAUUUAGAGGAAGUAAAAGUCGUAACAAGGUUUCCGUAGGUGAACCUGCGGAAGGAUCAUUACAAAUUAUGGCGAACUUCGCGUCUAGCGAGGUUUUGCGUCCAAACUUUAUUUAAAACAUCCCACUCUUUAAAAAAAAAUUAUCUAAUGAUAAAUAAAAAGAUCACUUUCAACAACGGAUCUCUUGGUUCUCGCAUCGAUGAAGAACGUAGCGAAGUGCGAUAUGUAAUGUGAAUUGCAGAAUUCCGUGAAUCAUCGAAUUUUUGAACGCAAAUUGCACUCUCUUCGGAGAGUAUGCCUGUUUGAGGGUCAGCCUAAAAAAAAUCGACAUAGUUGCUGUUUCGCGGUGACAAUCGUCGGAAAUUGGGUCAUCUUAAACCUUUUGUUGGGUUUAAGCGGCUUAAAAUUUUAUUUACGAUUUCACGAACGUUUUUAAGAUUUUAUUUUCUUAUACGUUUAUGUAUCAAUCUUUACUAGACGUGGCCGUUGCAUCGGAUCACGUCCAUAAAUAUUUCGUUAACUGACCUCAUACAGGUAAGAACACCCGCUGAACUGAAGGGGGAAAAGCUCAAAUUUUAAAUCGGCGUAGGUUUUGCCUAGUCGAGUUGUAAUUUGAAGAAGCGUUUACCGCGUCCUGGUCGACCCAAAUCCUUUGGGAUAAGGUAUCAUGGAGGGUGAGAAUCCCGUCCGGUUGACCUCAGGAUGCUUUACGUUACGCUCUCUAAGAGUCGAGUUGUUUGGGAUUGCAGCUCAAAAUGGGAGGUGAAUUUCUCCUAAGGCUAAAUACAGGCGAGAGACCGAUAGCGAACAAGUACCGUGAGGGAAAGAUGAAAAGAACUUUGAAAAGAGAGUCAAACAGUACGUGAAAUUGUUGAAAGGGAAACGAUUGAAGCCAGUCGUACCGUCGGGAAUUCAACUUUUUAAGUGCUUGUCGUGUGUGAUGUAGAGCCUCACGGCCUUCGUUGCUUUGCGUUAUGGUGCUUUUAGGGUGUACUUUUCCGUAUGGUAGGUCAAUAUCGAUUUUGAUCGUCAUAGAAUGAUCGGAGGAAUGUGGCUUCGAUCUCGUAUCGGAGUGUUAUAGCCUUUGGUAGAUGUGACGACUGGGAUCGAGGAUUGCAACGAAUACCCUUUGGGCUAUCCGUCUGACCUCUGAAAGUCGCUCGGGUGUCGAAAGCGUGCUUAUGACAUUCUAGUUGGCGGUCAAAAGGUUAGAACGCGAUUACAUUCGUUAAGGAUGUUGACGUAAUGGCUUUAAACGACCCGUCUUGAAACACGGACCAAGGAGUCUAACAUGUGUGCGAGUGUU
RNAcentral lists this small RNA (1485 nucleotides) under uncultured Glomeraceae. RNAcentral's name for it is "eukaryotic LSU rRNA". The stretch from base 701 to 1485 matches the Rfam family "Eukaryotic large subunit ribosomal RNA", at positions 1 to 694 of the family's 3401-position model. Lineage: Eukaryota; Fungi; Glomeromycota; Glomeromycetes; Glomerales; Glomeraceae. The record is from RNAcentral.